RNAcentral lists this ribosomal RNA (765 nucleotides) under uncultured archaeon. Its description in RNAcentral is "bacterial SSU rRNA". It matches the Rfam family "Archaeal small subunit ribosomal RNA", at positions 113 to 879 of the family's 1478-position model. The record is from RNAcentral.
AUUAUGGAGGGGGAAUAUCUCGGGGAACUGAGAAUAAUGCCCGAUAGAACAUUAUGCCUGGAAUGGUUUAUGUUUCAAAUGAUUUAUCGCCAUAGGAUGGGACUGCGGCCUAUCAGUUUGUUGGUGAGGUAAUGGCCCACCAAGACUAUUACAGGUACGGGCUCUGAGAGGAGUGGCCCGGAGAUGGGUACUGAGACACGGACCCAGGCCCUAUGGGGCGCAGCAGGCGAGAAAACUUUGCAAUGUGCGAAAGCACGACAAGGUUAAUCCGAGUGGUUUCUGCUAAAGAAACCUUUUGUCAGUCCUAGAAACACUAACGAAUAAGGGGUGGGCAAGUUCUGGUGUCAGCCGCCGCGGUAAAACCAGCACCUCAAGUGGUCAGGAUGAUUAUUGGGCCUAAAGCAUCCGUAGCUCGUUUUGUAAGUUUUCGGUUAAAUCCAUACGCUUAACGUAUGGGCUGCCGGGAAUACUGCAUAACUAGGAAGUGGGAGAGGUAGACGGUACUCGGUAGGAAGGGGUAAAAUCCUUUGAUCUAUUGAUGACCACCUGUGGCGAAGGCGGUCUACCAGAACACGUUCGACGGUGAGGGAUGAAAGCUGGGGGAGCAAACCGGAUUAGAUACCCGGGUAGUCCCAGCUGUAAACUAUGCAAACUCAGUGAUGCAUUGGCUUGUGGCCAAUGCAGUGCUGCAGGGAAGCCGUUAAGUUUGCCGCCUGGGAAGUACGUACGCAAGUAUGAAACUUAAAGGAAUUGGCGGGGGAGCAC